Molecule: transfer RNA, 87 nt
Filed under: Candidatus Magasanikiibacteriota bacterium
Lineage: Bacteria; Candidatus Magasanikiibacteriota
Description: tRNA-Ser
Rfam family: tRNA
About the family: Transfer RNA (tRNA) molecules are approximately 80 nucleotides in length. Their secondary structure includes four short double-helical elements and three loops (D, anti-codon, and T loops).
Source: RNAcentral
GGAGAGGUGUCAGAGUGGUCGAUCGUACAGCUUUGCUAAAGCUGUGAGGCUUUACCGCCUCCGAGGGUUCGAAUCCCUCCCUCUCCG